This is a non-coding RNA of Camellia sinensis, 871 nucleotides long. The record is from RefSeq and is a predicted model, not a curated record. Lineage: Eukaryota; Viridiplantae; Streptophyta; Magnoliopsida; Ericales; Theaceae.
UCUUAUCUGAACUCUUCAAUUCCUUUAUUGUUUCUUAAUUGAGACUUUUGCUUAAAUCUAUGUUGUGAGGAUGAAACCAAAUCAAUUAGUUCCAUCGGUGAUUAAUGCAUAUAUGUAUUUAAACAGAAUUUAGAGGAUAGUAGGAUGUUUGAUAGAUUCAUAAAUGGAGUAUACACUGAGUUUUCGAUUGGUUUGUUAAACAUGCAGCUUGGCCAUCUCAUUUGCAGGCAAGCACACCUAAUGCUUGUGAUUUUUAUCUCAUACAUACAAGCCUUUCACAUUUUAUUGGAACUAAACCAAUGUAGUUUGUUGGAGGGUCCUUCAUGGAACUUGAUGGUUUAUAAUUUCUGACUUCAAAUUUGGCUCGUAGGCAAUUCAAGACUCGAGAACAUAAGAUACAGAUAAUAAGGCUUCAGAAUAUGAAUUGAUAUACUCGAUUUGCUUGGAGCAAGUUAACUAGGAGACCUUGUUUGAAGCUUGCUAUGUUUGCAUCAAUUUUCAGGGGCACAAGGAAUGGAUCAACGAAAUGAACUUGUUGCAUGUAGUCAAACACCCAAAUCUUGUCAAGUUAGUGGGAUACUGUGCAGAAGAUGAUGAAAGAGGGAUUCAGCAGCUUUUGGUGUAUGAGCUCAUGCGUAACAAAUUGGUGUAUGAGCUCAUGCGUAACAAAAGCUUCGAGGACCAUCUAUUGGCUCGAGUAGCUUCUCCUCUGCCAUGGAUGGAAAGAUUAAAAAUUGCUCAAGAUGCAGCUCGUCGUUUGGCUUAUCUGCAUGGAGAAAUGGACUUUGGAGACUAAAAAUUUGUAUGAUGAAUUAUUAUUAAAUUUGUAUGAUGGAUUUAUUUUGAUUUAUAAUAUAAAUUGGUUACUGAA